RNAcentral lists this ribosomal RNA (261 nucleotides) under uncultured bacterium. Its description in RNAcentral is "partial small subunit ribosomal RNA". It matches the Rfam family "Bacterial small subunit ribosomal RNA", at positions 26 to 284 of the family's 1533-position model. The record is from RNAcentral.
AGGACGAACGCUGGCGGCGUGCUUAACACAUGCAAGUCGAGCGGUAAGGCCUCCUUCGGGGGGUACACGAGCGGCGAACGGGUGAGUAACACGUGAGCAACCUGCCCCUAGUUCUGGGAUAACUCCGGGGAAACCGGUGCUAAUACCGGAUACGAGACCAAGUGGCAUCACAAGGGUACUGGUAAAGUUUUUCGACUAGGGAUGGGCUCGCGGCCUAUCAGCUUGUUGGUGAGGUAACGGCCCACCAAGGCGACGACGGGU